Molecule: unclassified non-coding RNA, 240 nt
Filed under: Hevea brasiliensis (rubber tree)
Lineage: Eukaryota; Viridiplantae; Streptophyta; Magnoliopsida; Malpighiales; Euphorbiaceae
Source: RNAcentral
AAAGGUGACAUAUUCUUAUAAUAUACCAAUUACAGGAGAGCUAGCAAUAUCUUAACAGGUUUGGGGUCUCACUAUAAAAAUUUGCAUGGUAGAUAGCACAAAUAUCCAAAAAGCCUAUAAUCUGCCAUGCAUGAUAUUCAUCGAAGCAGUAUAUAAUAUAGAAAGACAAGAAGAUACUGAUGUAUGAACAUUAAAAUCAUGGGGUUUGUCAUGUUGGAUUGUGAGCUUCUAUAUCAACAU